CCUACGGGAGGCAGCAGUGAGGAAUAUUGGUCAAUGGACGCGAGCCUGAACCAGCCAAGCAGCGUGCAGGAUGACUGCCCUACGGGUUGUAAACUUCUUUUAUAAAGGAGUAAACUGAGGCACGUGUGCCUUUUUGAAAGUACUGUAUGAAUAAGGAUCGGCUAACUCCGUGCCAGCAGCCGCGGUAAUACGGAGGAUCCGAGCGUUAUCCGGAUUUAUUGGGUUUAAAGGGAGCGUAGGUGGUUUGUUAAGUCAGUGGUGAAAGUCUGCGGCUCAACCUUAAAAUUGCCAUUGAUACUGGCAGGCUUGAGUACAGUUGAGGUAGGCGGAAUGCAUGGUGUAGCGGUGAAAUGCUUAGAGAUCACGCAGAACUCCGAUUGCGAAGGCAGCUUACCAAGCUGCCACUGACAUUGAGGCUCGAAAGUGUGGGGAGCAAACAGGAUUAGAUACCCUUGUAGUC
RNAcentral lists this ribosomal RNA (460 nucleotides) under uncultured bacterium. RNAcentral describes it as "partial 16S ribosomal RNA". It matches the Rfam family "Bacterial small subunit ribosomal RNA", at positions 338 to 795 of the family's 1533-position model. The record is from RNAcentral.